RNAcentral lists this ribosomal RNA (379 nucleotides) under uncultured eukaryote. RNAcentral's name for it is "partial 18S ribosomal RNA". It matches the Rfam family "Eukaryotic small subunit ribosomal RNA", at positions 592 to 976 of the family's 1831-position model. The record is from RNAcentral.
CAAUAGCGUAUAUUAAAGUUGUUGCGGUAAAAAAGCUCGUAGUUGGAUUUCUGUUGAGAGCGACCGGUCCAUACCGUGUAUGCGUAUCUGGCUUGCUCUCGGCAUCCUCUCGAUAGACGUUGCUGCGCUUGAUUGCGUGGCGCGGAUCUCGGGACUUUUACUUUGAGGAAAUUAGAGUGUUCACGGCAGGCUUUCGCCAGAAUACAUUAGCAUGGAAUAAUACUAUAGGAUCUUGGUUCUAUUUUGUUGGUUUCUAGAAUUGAGAUAAUGAUUAAUAGGGACAAUUGGGGGCAUUCGUAUCAACACGUCAGAGGUGGAAUUCUUGGAUUGUGUUGCGACGAACUACUGCGAAAGCAUUUGCCAAGGAUGUUUUCAUUGA